This 301-nucleotide ribosomal RNA is filed under the name uncultured bacterium. RNAcentral describes it as "partial 16S ribosomal RNA". It matches the Rfam family "Bacterial small subunit ribosomal RNA", at positions 509 to 807 of the family's 1533-position model. The record is from RNAcentral.
CAGUCGCCGCGGGAAUACGGAGGGUGCAAGCGUUAUCCGGAUUUAUUGGGUUUAAAGGGUCCGUAGGCGGAUCUGUAAGUCAGUGGUGAAAUCUCACAGCUUAACUGUGAAACUGCCAUUGAUACUGCAGGUCUUGAGUAAAUUUGAAGUGGCUGGAAUAAGUAGUGUAGCGGUGAAAUGCAUAGAUAUUACUUAGAACACCAAUUGCGAAGGCAGGUCACUAUGAUUUAACUGACGCUGAUGGACGAAAGCGUGGGGAGCGAACAGGAUUAGAGACCCCAGUAGUCCCUGUCUCUUAUAC